Long non-coding RNA from Brassica napus (rape), 1313 nucleotides. RefSeq lists it as uncharacterized. NCBI's taxonomy places the organism in Eukaryota, Viridiplantae, Streptophyta, Magnoliopsida, Brassicales, Brassicaceae. The record is from RefSeq and is a predicted model, not a curated record. The transcript is spliced from 3 exons.
CUAACUGGGUUUGUAAUGUAUUUGUAACAAUUAGAUUUGCUUGGGCUGGGUUAUUCCUUAUUGGUGGCCCAUGGUCUUAGUUACGCCGUCUGAAGUUAACUUCAGAAUAUGCUUUCGUUCAUCUUCCCGACUAGGACAGUCAGAAACCAUUACAAGAGUUACACAGAAGCGAAGCGUCGUCUUCAGAGCAUUCAUCAUCUAUUGAAUGCAUCCCCAUUUACUUUCUUAUCUCAGAAUUUUCGACUAUAAAAAGGUAAUACAUCCGUUCAAGCUUCUGAUUCAUAAGUUUCUGGAAAAUGGCUAACUCCUCUUUGGAUGGUUUCUGGGUUUAGAUCCUUUGUUAGUGGUUUGAUUAUAUGACUGACUUUGAUUGGAAGUUUCGUUAGAUUAGGGUCUGUUGGUUUAUCAAUUUAAUUAAUAUGAAAUGUAAAUUAGCGUUAUUUGUAUCUGGAGAAGAGAUUAUAUAGUUUAGUCGCUUUGUAGGCUGAGCUAGAUACAAACGUGUUUUAGGCAAUUGAAGAAUAUAGAUGAGGUCUACCUCAGGCUUUGUUGGGAAGCUGCAAUGAUCAUGCAAGGCAGAUAUAUAUUAAGAUGCCCAUUAAAGAUCCUUCAAUCAAUCCUCCCACUACAUCUCUCUUUUGGAAGGUCCGAAUGUUAAGAGGAGGUGAGAUCAAGGGAUUUAAGCUCAUCAAUGUUGGACAAGAAGCGUUUCCACUCUCCACUGCCACACACCUCACCAGAUCGGACGGCUUGAAUUAGCUUUCAAUGAGUGUCAACCUCCAGAUGAGACACAGAGGAUGCAACUUAGGAGAGAGUUGGGUUUGGCUCCAAGACAGAUCAAGUUUUGGUUUCAGAACCGAAGAAAACAUAAGAAGGCGCAACACGAGAGAGCUGAUAAUUAUGCACUCAAGAAAGAGAAUGAUAGGAUUUGUUGCGAAAACAUUUCCAUUAGAGAAGCUCUCAAACACACACCAUUUGCCACACCUGUGUUCAUGAAGACUUAAACAGAAGCUUCGAAUCAAAAAAGCUUAGAGAAGAGGUUCUAGCUUUUUCUUUAUGAAACCCUCUUUCCAUCAAGUUGUUCUUCAAUGGCUGCCUCGAGUUUACUGUCUCUACCAAACUUUGUUAUCUCAGACAUGGAUAAGUCUCGGAUGACCAACAAUGCUGUGACCCGCUAUGGAAGAAUAUCUUAGGCUUAGGCCCUGUUCGUUUGCUCACCCAGGUGAUCCAUAUGGGUGAAGAUGCAAAUUGAUGUUCGUUUUGUACAUUAUAAUGCUACAUCCAGAUGUAUCACACAGCUGAAUUUUUAAAAA